This is a non-coding RNA of Truncatella angustata, 88 nucleotides long. Lineage: Eukaryota; Fungi; Ascomycota; Sordariomycetes; Amphisphaeriales; Sporocadaceae. The record is from the annotation of a RefSeq genome assembly.
GUCGAAUUGGCCUAGUGGUUAGGGCAUCUCCUUUACAUCAUACACAUGUAUUCGGAGAGGAUCGCAGGUUCGAUCCCUGCAUUCGACA